UACGUAGGGAGCAAGCGUUGUCCGGAUUUACUGGGUGUAAAGGGAGCGUAGACGGCAAGGCAAGCCUGGAGUGAAAGGCGGGGGCCCAACCCCCGGACUGCUCUGGGAACUGUCUGGCUAGAGUGCAGGAGGGGUAAGUGGAAUUCCUAGUGUAGCGGUGAAAUGCGUAGAUAUUAGGAGGAACACCAGUGGCGAAGGCGGCUUACUGGACUGUAACUGACGUUGAGGCUCGAAAGCGUGGGGAGCAAACAGG
Molecule: ribosomal RNA, 253 nt
Filed under: uncultured bacterium
Lineage: Bacteria
Description: partial 16S ribosomal RNA
Rfam family: Bacterial small subunit ribosomal RNA
Source: RNAcentral